GGAAUAUUGGACAAUGGGCGCAAGCCUGAUCCAGCAAUGCCGCGUGUGUGAAGAAGGCCUUCGGGUUGUAAACCUCUUUCAGCAGGGAAGAAGCGAAAGUGACGGUACCUGCAGCAGAAGCGCCGGCUAACUAAGUGCCAGCAGCCGCGGUAAUACGUAGGGCGCAAGCGUUAUCCGGAAUUAUUGGGCGUAAAGAGCUCGUAGGCGGUUUGUCGCGUCUGCCGUGAAAGUCCGGGGCUCAACUCCGGAUCUGCGGUGGGUACGGGCAGACUAGAGUGAUGUAGGGGAGACUGGAAUUCCUGGUGUAGCGGUGAAAUGCGCAGAUAUCAGGAGGAACACCGAUGGCGAAGGCAGGUCUCUGGGCAUUAACUGACGCUGAGGAGCGAAAGCAUGGGGAGCGAA
This 402-nucleotide ribosomal RNA is filed under the name uncultured bacterium. Its description in RNAcentral is "bacterial SSU rRNA". It matches the Rfam family "Bacterial small subunit ribosomal RNA", at positions 358 to 772 of the family's 1533-position model. The record is from RNAcentral.